GCUUCCGUACGCCGUUCAAACUGGCACAGACGAGCCAAUCAGAAGGAGCAGACGCUGCACGUGGCCUGGCUCCGGGGAGACCCAGGCCCCGCCGAGGCCUGGUCACGUGACUGAAGAGUUGGAGGCUCUCUUGGCCUUUCUGGCCGGCAGGUCCUCCCACCGUCUCGUUUCCUCAGCGUCUCUCUAGUCGGCCUGACAGCAGCUCUUUGCUAGGAGCUGAGUUUGAAGGCGAGCGGGGACUUUGGGUGUGUGGUGGACCUGGGCAUGCCUCGGCCAGAGUCAGCUACGCCUUUGUCACCCCCUCCUGUAAGAAUGGAACUGUGCCUCCUUCCUCCCAUCCAGAAGGUACUUGGGAGGAGUACAGUAUGUGGGCCCAAGGAAAAAGCGGAGGGACUGUGCCUGGGGUGGACUUUACAUCCCAGAGACAAAGGAAGAAAAGCCAGACAAAGGGAGUGCCUGAUACGGGCUGGGUUCCUACAGAAGCCUCUGCCACACUGCGUUAUUUUCCAGUGCUGUUCCACAAUUUCUACAAGGAUAUAAAAUUUUAAACGAAAUGAACUAAUAAAAUAAAUGCAGGAGCAGAAGACCUAAUUCCUUUCCCUACCUGAACCUGAAUGAGGUGGAACAGUCCAGGAAAUUUAGGCAAGGGCAGGGUCAUGAAGAAAGACAUCUUCGUGAUCCUCGCGCCGUCUGAGGACAAAGUAGGGCACCUCUUUUCUUGCUCGUAAGAACAGAGCCGAGUAAAGAGAAGCUGAAGACCCUAGAGCGUCCCGGUUUCCUCUCCUGACCCUACUGAUAACAAAGUGGGCGACCUCCUGCCACUGGGAUCCUUAGUUUCCCCCACUUGUCAAAUGGGUAUAAGAAUAGUUUGCUGGGUUAGAGAUAAUCCAAGUUAAGCAUUACCAAGCCUGCCGUAAAUUGUUCUUUAAAAACGUGGCUUUUACCCCGCGAGGCUCAAGGCGGUCCUUUCACUGUAUUCAGCCCCACCCUAAACCAAUAUUUACUGAAUUUACUGAAUCAACUAGGGCUUUAAUCCCAAAGGACAACCUAGCCCUUCCCUGAGGGACAUUUUGGUGUCGGGAGAGGCACAAGGUCCAUUUUUGCCCCAGCCUGGAGGGGAACAGGUUUCUCGGCCCACUUCCCGUUGGCAGGCAGUCCUGGCUCCGUUCAUUCAUGAAAAGCAGGUACCCAAAAUCACUCUUGUCGAGCACUGGGCCCUCCCAGGCUUGGGAAGGGUCGCCUGGCACCUAAUUCCACUCGGAGACUCGGGAAAGACUCCCUAAAGGAGCAGCUGGAUUUCCAUCUCAGCCAGCGCUGCUGAACAGAAACCCGGCUUGACACACGUGCGGAAAGCCACUGCCUACGCAUGCGCAUUGGCCUUCCCUCGCGGACCCUGAUGCCCUGGAACUACAAAUCCCGUCUUGCCGCGCGCCCGCGCUCUCGCGCUUACGAGCUCCGGCUAAGACUCAAAACCUGGGGGUCUGGAGACCGCCCCCGGUGGUGGGCGUUGUGCAGAAGGAAGAGUGAGAUCGAGGGGUUGGGACUGGGUUUGGAUUUUUCGGGAGGGGGUGCGAAAGGUAGGAGUUUUCUGCUCAGGGUUGGGGAUUGCCCCAGAUAAGGGUCAGGCGGGCAGCGACUAGAUGCAGGAGAGAAUUUGUUAGUGCUCACCCCCCUCCUUUUAAUAUGUCAAGUUUCCAGCGGCCUUGCGAAGCCUCGGGAGAGGGAGUCAGGCAGAAUAAAGUGGCCCCUGCUGCCUGUGUGGUCCACAGUACUGGCCCUCGUGUGAUCACGCGGUUUCCAAAUGUAAUUCUCACAACAGCCCUGUGCACGGCAAGCUUACUUCAACGCAACUAGAAGCGCUCAGUGCAAAAAGGACACUCAAGCAGCUGCUGCCCAACCGUAAAGCUGAGAUGGGAGACAAACUCCUCUCGGGUUACAACAGCCGCCCUGCCUGAGCAUCUCCUCAAGCUAUGCCCGCGUUCAGAGAUGAAGAACCUGAACCACAGAAAAGCUAAGUGACUUACCCAAGAUCACACAGCUAACAGGCACCAGAAUAGUUUGAAGCCAGGGCUCUGUGACUCACCACAACCUGAAUUCGAUUCUCCUCCGGCUUCAGACUUUCCCCAGGUCAGGGCUGGCGAGCGUGGUGAAGGGGGGUGCCUAGACUCCAUCAGCUCCUCCUGCCUCCUGACACUCCAGAAUAGAGGCUGAGCUGCUGCAGGGGUGACCUACUUCUCCCACUGUGUUUCUUUUUAAAGAUCCAGCCGCUGCUGGUGGCUUUGAGGGAGGAGGAGGCAGAGGUGGCUCAAUUGGCUUCCUAUGUCCCCUCCCCCCACACUACCUCCCAAGGCUAAAGUCACACCUGGGCCAGCUCAGCAUCCCCAAAGUAGGAGGGAGAGACCCUUGAGCGAUGUGGAAAAUAACCAGACCAGCCUCACCGUUAGCAGUAGGGACAGGUCCUGUUCCGAAGCCUGCUUGCUGGCUCUUCCACCACGAGCCAGGCGCGCUUUCAGCUUGGGGGCUUUGCACCUGCUGUUCCUCCGGCCUGGAACACUUCCAAGGACCAUCUUCACUGCCUGUCCCACUGCCUGUUCCCUUCAGAACUUAGGAUAAAUGUCACCUUCUCAGGGAGGCCAUCCCUGACCAAUUUAAAACUGCCGUCUCUCCCACUCUCAUCCCGGUCCCCCGUUCACACUUUAUUUUUUGCCAAUAGAAUGUAUAAUUAUCCAAUGUGUUCUGUUGUACUUUGUUUCUCGUGUUUCCCCCACUAGAACGUUAGCACCACCAGGACAAGUUUUCUCUGUUCUGGUGCUCGGUAUUGGGAACACCCCAC
Long non-coding RNA from Diceros bicornis minor, 2833 nucleotides. RefSeq lists it as uncharacterized. The record is from RefSeq and is a predicted model, not a curated record. The transcript has 3 exons. NCBI's taxonomy places the organism in Eukaryota, Metazoa, Chordata, Mammalia, Perissodactyla, Rhinocerotidae.